This 610-nucleotide ribosomal RNA is filed under the name Ureaplasma diversum. Its description in RNAcentral is "bacterial SSU rRNA". It matches the Rfam family "Bacterial small subunit ribosomal RNA", at positions 97 to 693 of the family's 1533-position model. Lineage: Bacteria; Bacillati; Mycoplasmatota; Mycoplasmoidales; Mycoplasmoidaceae. The record is from RNAcentral.
GGUGAACGGGUGAGUAACACGUAUCCAAUCUACCCUUAAGAUUGGGAUAACUAGUCGAAAGAUUAGCUAAUACCGAAUAAUGACAUUCUUUUGCAUGAAAGAAUGUAGAAAGUUGCGUUUGCAACGCUUUUGGAUGAGGGUGCGACGUAUCAGAUAGUUGGUGAGGUAACGGCUCACCAAGUCAUUGACGCGUAGCUGUACUGAGAGGUAGAACAGCCACAAUGGGACUGAGACACGGCCCAUACUCCUACGGGAGGCAGCAGUAGGGAAUUUUUCACAAUGGGCGAAAGCCUUAUGAAGCAAUGCCGCGUGAACGAUGAAGGUCUAUAAGAUUGUAAAGUUCUUUUAUUUGGGAAGAACCACUAAAAUAGGAAAUGAUUUUAGUUUGACUGUACCAUUUGAAUAAGUAUCGGCUAACUAUGUGCCAGCAGCCGCGGUAAUACAUAGGAUGCAAGCGUUAUCCGGAUUUACUGGGCGUAAAACGAGCGCAGGCGGAUUUGUAAGUUUGGUAUGAAAUCUAGAUGCUUAACGUCUAGCUGUAUCAAAAACUACGAAUCUAGAGUGUAGCAGAGAGUUGGGGGAACUCCAUGUGGAGCGGUAAAAUGCGUAG